Molecule: long non-coding RNA, 2863 nt
Organism: Equus caballus (horse)
Lineage: Eukaryota; Metazoa; Chordata; Mammalia; Perissodactyla; Equidae
Source: Ensembl
CUUUCCUGGUGGCCUGCCCAGCUGUGUCAGCACUGCUGCAGGGUCCAGAGCUGUGAGGACAGAGGCAAGACGCGGGCCGGCGGUGUUCAGUGCGGAUGCUCAGCUGCCUUCCGGGGGCCGCGCUCAGUGUACCCGGCAUGUCCACGUCAUUUUUGUACUAAGACAGGAUCGGAUGGUCCGCCCCGGUUUUGUGCGAUCCCUUUGCAGCAGGAAGCCUUCUGAAGUUUGCACAAGCCACUACACCCAUCGUGGGAGGAAGGAGCCGUGGAAGAGGCAGGGACCUGCCGUGACCAUGAGCCUAGGCCCUGCUCCUUCUUCUGUGAGCCGGACAGUCGCUGGGCCCUGCCCUGGAACCGUCCAUCCCCAGGGAGGAAGAACACGGUAAUGAUCAUGUGAACAGCAGGGUAAUUUCAGCCAGGUGAGGACAGAGUCGCAUGGGCCGGUGGCGGGGGGCGGUGUUCUUUUAGAUGGGCCUCAUCUGUUCUCCAUCAGCCCUCAGGACCCCGUUUUAUAGCCCAAGAGCUGGGCUCAGUUAGCAACUCGCCCGCAGUCACAAAGCAAAGCACGAACCCCAGGCUGACCCCGAAAUCCGAGCCCCCCACCCCCAACUCCCACCAUUAGUGGAGAGAAGCAGACAGAGCAGAGAAGGAAGCCGUCAUCCCUGGCCCUGACCCCUCGCCUGGCUUCCUUGCUGCCCUGCCGGCUUCCACAGUCACCUCCUGCAGCCCGUCUCCACCCAGCAGCCUAGCAGUGCCUCCUCCAAGCGUGCCAGCCCCAACUCAGGCCUUCCAAUGGCCUGCAGGUCCAGAGGCCCUGUAGAAGCAGCAGCUAUAAUGGGGGGUGUUAAUGAAGCCCGUAAGGAACCUGGGAUCUGAGACCGAGGGGAGGGGCAGGAAGGCCUCUCAGAGCCUGAGGGAGAGAGCGCGUGUUCAUAGAUGUUGCCGCGUCCUCCGUUUCCUCCUGAACUGAGAUCUGGGCCGCCGGUGGAAGGGCAGGUGUUGGCAGCCUGGGAGGAGCAGUGGGACCCGGUCUGCGCGUCCACCUCUGCGGGAGGAGCGGACGGAGGCCGCCCUCUGGGGACGUGGAAAGGCCUUCGGGAGCCUCGAGAGAACACAGCUCCUGGGAACAGGCUGCUGUGUCUCUCAAGGGCAGAGGGUGGCCUCGUGGGCAGCCCCAUUUCAGACUGGCGUCAAGAAACCAGACUGGCUCCAGAUCCCCCCUGAAUGACUGUGCAACUGCGGGCAAGUCUCGCCCUCUGUUAGGCUCAGUCACCACAGCCCAAAGUGAGGGGCCAGAUGACACCUGGCGCCCCGCCAGCUCUUUAAUUGUUCCUUCUUCUGCUGAGCCCAGAGUCUCCCCUGGGAGUUAUUUGGAGGAGCCCCAGGGAGCUGGAAUCCUAGUGGUGACCAGCAUCCCCCCAAGUGCAGCUGGGGUCAGGGCGCCAGGCCACGGCGGAGCAGGAGGGGGACGGACCAGGUCCCAGGAGGAAGAAGAACACAGGCCACGGAUUUCGUUUUUUUUUUCUUUCUUUACUAUUUUUCUCUUUUUAAUUACGUAAGUAUCCAUUUAUAUAUUCUCAUUGUAAAAGAUUUCAGAAGUGUCUAUGAAUAUAAAGUAAAAUAUGACAGACUCUCUCCAGGCUCCACCUGCCCCUGCAAGGUCUUGAGCAGGUGACUUGAGUUUUCGGGGCUGUCCGGAGGCAGAGGGGCGUCAGUCGCCAUGCAGGAAGCAGUGAUCCCACCUGCAAAUACCACCACCUUGGGAUGAGGUUUCAACAUAUGAAUUUGGGGGACGCAAACAUCCGGUCUAUGGCAGAGAUCUCUCCGGCUCCGUGGGCGGAGGCCUGCCACGUUCUUCAAAACUGCCGCUUGGUACUCAGUUGUGUGGAUGUUUUUUAGGAAAAACUCAUUGUUUUCCUCUGCUCACACUACCAACACUUCUGACGCCAGAUGUGUGGGUUUUCACGCCCAGCAAUUCUGACACUAACUGCCUGGAGUUAGCACAGACCCCACAGGUCAGUCCCACCCGACUGUCCCCCACUGCAGAUGCCAGUUUCAAGUCGUGGGUCCCCAAGUUAUCUACAGCUUCUGUGAGACUUGGCUACAAAUCGGAGUUUCCUGUGAUCCCCUCCUUGGGUUCGAUAAUUUGCUAGAGCAGCUCAUGGAACCCAGCAAAGCAGGUUACUUGCUGUUACCAAUUUAUUGCAGAGGAUAAUUUAAAGGAUAGAAACAAACAGCCAGAUGAAAAGAUCUGUGCAGGAGCCCCUGUCCCCGUGGAGCUGGGGCGCAUCACCCUCCCAGCACGUGACCGUGUUUCACUUUGGAAGCUCUCCAAGCCCCGUACUUUGGGGAGUUGAUGGAGCCUUCAUCAUGUAGGCAUGAUUCACUCAAUCUCCAGCCCAUCUCCUCUCCCCGGAGGAUGCGGGAUGGCGGUGGAAGUUCCAAGCUUCUAAUCAUGGCUUCGAAUCAUGACCAGCUGCCAUCCAGGAGCCCACCCAGAGUCACCUCAUUAGAACAAAAGACGCUCCUGUCACUCAGGAAAUUCCAAGGAAUUUAGGAGCUCUGUGCCGGGAACCAGGCGACGAGACCGAUUUAUAUAUUUUUAAAUUAUUACAGGAUGUGUAUACUAUUAUUAAACCCAUCCCUAAUUGUUGAACGUUGCGGUGGUUUUGGAUUUUUCACUCUUAAACAUGCUGCAGCAAAUGUCUUUGUCCGCAUAAGUCCUAAAAGCAAAUUGUUCAGUCAAAAGGUAGGAAAAUUUUAAGUUUUGAUAGAAGCUGCCAAAUUGCCUUGAAAAAGGUUUUACCCAUUUGCGCUCAUAAUGGUUUAUGAGUGCCCUUUACCCAUAUCCUUGUCGAUACUGA